GUGAGGAAUAUUGGUCAAUGGGCGAGAGCCUGAACCAGCCAAGUCGCGUGAAGGAUGAAGGUUUUAUGAAUUGUAAACUUCUUUUGCAGGGGAAUAAAGUACGGUACGUGUACCGUUUUGUAUGUACUCUGCGAAUAAGGAUCGGCUAACUCCGUGCCAGCAGCCGCGGUAAUACGGAGGAUCCAAGCGUUAUCCGGAUUUAUUGGGUUUAAAGGGUGCGCAGGCGGGUUGAUAAGUCAGCGGUGAAAGUUUGCAGCUUAACUGUAAAAAUGCCGUUGAAACUGUCGGACUUGAGUGUAAAUGAGGUAGGCGGAAUGCGUGGUGUAGCGGUGAAAUGCAUAGAUAUCACGCAGAACUCCGAUUGCGAAGGCAGCUUACUAAGCUACAACUGACACUGAAGCACGAAAGCGUGGGGAUCAAACAGGAUUAGAUACCCCGGUAGUCC
This 445-nucleotide ribosomal RNA is filed under the name uncultured bacterium. RNAcentral's name for it is "partial 16S ribosomal RNA". It matches the Rfam family "Bacterial small subunit ribosomal RNA", at positions 354 to 796 of the family's 1533-position model. The record is from RNAcentral.